GUGCUUGCUUCAGCAGCACAUAUACUAAAAUUGGAACGGUACAGAGAAGAUUAGCAGGCCCCUGCACAAGGAUGACACGCAAAUCGCGAAGCGUUCCGUAUUAAA
RNAcentral lists this small nuclear RNA (105 nucleotides) under Castor canadensis (American beaver). The record is from RNAcentral. Lineage: Eukaryota; Metazoa; Chordata; Mammalia; Rodentia; Castoridae.